RNAcentral lists this ribosomal RNA (248 nucleotides) under uncultured bacterium. RNAcentral describes it as "partial small subunit ribosomal RNA". It matches the Rfam family "Bacterial small subunit ribosomal RNA", at positions 26 to 278 of the family's 1533-position model. The record is from RNAcentral.
AGGACGAACGCUGGCGGCGUGCUUAACACAUGCAAGUCGAGCGGAAAGGCCCUUCGGGGUACUCGAGCGGCGAACGGGUGAGUAACACGUGAGCAACCUGCCCUUAGCUCCGGGAUAGCUCCGGGAAACCGGAAUUAAAUACCGGAUACGACCACGGCCGACAUCUGCUGUGGUGGAAAGGAUUCCGGCUAAGGAUGGGCUCGCGGCCUAUCAGCUAGUUGGUGGAGUAACGGCCCACCAAGGCGACG